CUCCAGGAGAGUGAAGACUGACUGAGAAACUUGCAGAAAGAAAACACCAGGAAGAAAAAUGAAGAUGGUCACAGUCAAAGCUAGGUACUAAGCAGGGAAGAGAAUUUAGCCCCGAAAGAACAUUAAUAAGAAAAGGGAUCGCCUGUGGAUAAGAAGACAAAGCAAGAACAUCACAAAGGGUCAUUUAAGCAGAUACUAUACAAAAGUGGAUUUUAAGUGAACCAUGUGAACACUUAAGUGGAUGAGAAAAAUGUUCUUGAACUCGGAGCUGUACAAGGCAAAGAUACAGUUUAAAAUACAAAUGAGAACAGUCUAAAUAGAAAACACACAUGCACACACACUUCUGCUUGAAUUACUAUUGUUGCAUUUGUUUUACAUAAAUUAUGAGAGAGAAGGUAGUUAUGGCACUAUAUAGUCUUCAAGUCUGUUAGCAACUGUACACAGGUUUAUAGCUUUGCUGCUCAGGUGUGUUAACUAAUUUACUUACAAAAUUGUGCCAUAUGAAUAAAUGACUAUAUGCCUUCCACUUUCAGUACCUGCUGCUUGUUCAAUAUGCAGACUACACUACAGCUUCUGAAACUUUUAUAUCCUCCUUUGCAGUCCUCCUAACUCAACUGACUGUGGUGUGCAUACUGAAGUUUAGAGACGUUUGUUCCACAAACUUUAGUCUCCUCACCCUUAGCAUUUGGAAAAACACAGCACAUGGACUAUUACUACAUGCGAGUAUGUUCUUUUCCUAACUUUGAUGGAGGACUGGGACAUUGUUACAUAGUAAAAUUAGAUAUUCUUUUCAUCACAUUCUCCCAAAA
This is a long non-coding RNA of Cygnus olor (mute swan), 809 nucleotides long. RefSeq lists it as uncharacterized. The record is from RefSeq and is a predicted model, not a curated record. The transcript is spliced from 2 exons. NCBI's taxonomy places the organism in Eukaryota, Metazoa, Chordata, Aves, Anseriformes, Anatidae.